AUGGCUUCAUCCGGUUCCAUGACGAGGCCGUCGUCUGUUGACCAUGAAGACAUGUCGAACAAGUUGGGGGACGCCAAAUUGGACGAGGUGAAGGAAAAAGAUCUGAAAACCCCAUCAUGUUGGUGUGGAGAUGUUUGCAAGGUGAAGGUGUCCACCGACCGCAAGAAGUCAUGGACGGAAGGCAGAAGAAUUUUUGUGUGUCCCAAUUAUGCACAUGAUCGGGCGCUUCCAACAAACACCUAUGACAUACAACCGGUAUGGUCAAAGAGUAAUCUCAUUUUUUGUCCAACUUCUACUCAUAAUGCUAACAGAAAAUUUGUUUUUCCUAUGCAGUCACCACCUCCUCUUUGCAAGUACUUCACCGAAUAG
RNAcentral lists this ribosomal RNA (369 nucleotides) under Triticum aestivum (bread wheat). RNAcentral describes it as "partial small subunit ribosomal RNA". The record is from RNAcentral. Lineage: Eukaryota; Viridiplantae; Streptophyta; Magnoliopsida; Poales; Poaceae.